CACUGGAACUGAGACACGGUCCAGACUCCUACGGGAGGCAGCAGUGAGGAAUAUUGGUCAAUGGCCGGAAGGCUGAACCAGCCAUGCCGCGUGAAGGUCAGUGCCCUAUGGGCGUUAAACUUCUUUUGUGCGGGAGCAAUAAGGUCCACGUGUGGACCGACGAGAGUACCGUACGAAUAAGCAUCGGCUAACUCCGUGCCAGCAGCCGCGGUAAUACGGGGGAUGCAAGCGUUAUCCGGAUUUAUUGGGUUUAAAGGGUGCGUAGGCUGUAAGGUAAGUCAGCGGUGAAAUGCCCCCGCUCAACGGGGGAAGUGCCAUUGAUACUGCCUUGCUGGAAUGCGGAUGCCGUGGGAGGAAUGUGUGGUGUAGCGGUGAAAUGCAUAGAUAUCACACAGAACACCGAUUGCGAAGGCAUCUCACGAAUCCGCUAUUGACGCUGAUGCACGAAAGCGUGGGUAUCAAACAGGAUUAGAUACCCUGGUAGUCCACGCUGUAAACGAUGAUGACU
Molecule: ribosomal RNA, 508 nt
Filed under: uncultured bacterium
Lineage: Bacteria
Description: bacterial SSU rRNA
Rfam family: Bacterial small subunit ribosomal RNA
Source: RNAcentral